This is a non-coding RNA of Rattus norvegicus (Norway rat), 766 nucleotides long. The record is from RefSeq and is a predicted model, not a curated record. NCBI's taxonomy places the organism in Eukaryota, Metazoa, Chordata, Mammalia, Rodentia, Muridae.
GAGCCGUACAAUGUAGUUGCCAAGGUAACAUCCUGCUGAUCAGAAACGGAUGGCAAUCGAGGGAGCAUGAAACAGAAUCGCUCUCCAUCUUCUCUCUCUGUAAGAUGUGGAUGUCUGAGAAGCAGACAGAAGCAGGCAGCGAGUCCUUCCCCAUGUGGAGAGACCCAGUGGGACCUACUCAACUGGCAACACACGGAAGUCACCAUUUAAUCUUCCUAUUUGCUAGCGAUGAGUCAAUGAACUCUGAUAGCCGCUGCCCUGAGCUAGCAUCCAGGGAGCUGUGGAUGAGCUAUUUGAUAGCUGAAUUUUAGUCAAGGGAUUUUAUUUUACAUGCAAGGGGUUCUGGUGACAGUCGUGGGGAAGUAACUGAUGGAGCUGACCAACCUAAGGCAGAGUGGGCGGCCUUUGCAACACGAGCAUCCAGAGAGAGGCGUGAUCCGGAAUAAUUUUCUCUUGGUGCAAACCGCUGUUAUCAGAAUUGUGCCCUAGGUAUUCACCAUGUAUUUUAAUAUUGAAGAAUUCUCUAACGUAAAGUGACAGUGCAUUGACUGAAAAGUAAAUGGUGGAGUCACAUCUCCUCUCCCUUAUAUCUCGGUACGUGAGUUCACAUGCAUUUUUAUGCUUCUGAAUCUUUGCCGGUAUUAUCAAAAGACCUUAUCAGACUGGAUAAAUAUCAGUCUCUAAAGCUCCGUCCAGACAGCUUCUUCCCAUGAUGUUCUUCUCCAAAUUGAAAUAUAAUAAAAUAUACCUGGGUUAUUAUUUAUAA